RNAcentral lists this long non-coding RNA (3490 nucleotides) under Hordeum vulgare. Its description in RNAcentral is "long non-coding RNA (HVUL_LNC012377)". The record is from RNAcentral. Lineage: Eukaryota; Viridiplantae; Streptophyta; Magnoliopsida; Poales; Poaceae.
UCUCGUCGUUUCGCAAGAAUGGAUAUCGUUACGAGUACAUGUACAGAAUAGAUGAGUAUAUGAAAUUGACUUACACUCGCCACAAGCUACAGCAGAGUCACAUCAAUACAACAACAUAAUCAGUUAUCAUUAAGAAGAGCAGGGUUCGACUAUGGAUGAAAACAAACUAUAAAAGAACGACGUUCAUCCUUGCUAUCCCAAGCUGCCGGUCUGGAACCCAUCCUAGAUGGAUGAAGAAGAAUAAACUCCAAAUAGCACGCAAUCAGCGCGCUCACAUCAAAGUAACUCCUUACAUGUACCUGCAACUGAUGUUGUAGUAAUCUGUAAGCCACAUGGGACUCAGCAAACUCAUUUCCAAAGGUAUCAAGAUUAGCAAUGCUCAAUGAAUGAGGUAUGGUUAAGUGGUGAGGCUGCAUCAUGCAACUAAGCAUUUAUUUGAGGUGGCUAACUUACGAGUAUAAGAAUAAAAGAGAGGGAUGUUCUACGCAUAGCGGACGUGAACUACUGAUGAUCAAAUGAAUGAUCUUGAACACCUACUUACGACACGCAUAACCCCACCGUGUCCUCGGUCGGAAAAGGAGCUCACGAAAGAGACAUCCACGGUUACACACACAAUUGACAUAUUUUAAUUAAUAUUAAUUUGAGUUUUCUAGCACCGAAUGUUAAACAAAGUUUCCACGUUGCCACAUAACCGCGGACACGACUUUCCAAAAGAUCUAACCUUCGAGAGUGCUCCAACUAGUCCAUCACAAAUUACCACAAGCCGCAUAGAAAACCUCAAACACGAAACUCGUGAUCUCCUCGGAUUCCUUAAUGGAAAAUCUAAACUUUGAGAUAGCCCAAAGCAUCAUUGGAAUCCUGAUGCACGAGAUAUUUCAUCAAAGGUAAAACUAAUCCAGCAAGGCCACCCGACGUGUCGACGAACCUGAUAGAAGUCGCGUAUCUCGUUUUUAGGACACGACGGAUGGGUCACACUAGGAGUAAACCAAACCUCGGGUUGUCCCGCGGUGGCCCGUAGUCUGCCAAUUUGGACCAACACUCAUGCAAAGCACUGGCCCGGGGUUGAUUAAAUUUCCCCGGAAUAAUUACUCCCUAUGUGGUUCAUUAGUUAUUAGGCAAAUGUAGUAUCAAAGUUAGGCCCCAUAACAACCUCGAUCGUGUUAGGAGCUCUCAAUUAUGAAAAACAACAGCGAUGGCCGAAACUAAGGGCGACAAAGAUGGAACAAAACACCUGACUAGAAAGCCAAGCAUUCCACCUUUUACCAAGUAAAUAAAUGCAUUAAUUUAAAUAGCAUUAAUAUGAUGAUAUAACAAGGAACUCAUGUUUUCACAUGAAAACAACUGCACCUGCAACUAGCAAUAUUGUUAAAUGGUUAAGCCAACAAUAACAUAGCGAAUCAGUGGUUUGCUAAGUUAUAGAAAGGUUGAAGAUUUCAUGUCAAUGUUGAGAGGUUGACAUUUAAGUGGUAGGCAGCGAUACAUAUCGAAAAAAACGGGACAACUAGCAUGACAACGAUAAUAAUGGUAUAUAGAAAAAUGAUCAUCUUGCCAGAGAUCACGCUUGAAAGAAUAACGACUCUGUGAAGCUGACUAACCAACGUAGUCGAACGGAUCCUCAUAUUCCGACACGCUUGCGAAACUCUAUCGAGACGAAGCAAAACAGAAACAAGAAUCAACACACGAUAUUCACCACGGCACAUGCACGACAUGAUGCUCAAUACAUAUGAUGCAUGAUCAAUUUCAAUUAUGCAAGGCAUGGCACGUCAAUUCACCACAAUCAAAUACUACACAUUAAGUGAAUCUCAUUAUGCAACAAGUUACAUAUUGACGAAACUUGACAAUUUAAUAAUUUAGUUCACUCUCGUUUAUUUCCAAGGCAAAAUUAAAUUUUGUUAAACAUGACAAGAGGUGAAGAAUGUGAUUCUACAUGACAUACUAGCCGGUUAAUACCUAAGAACAUUGAACGGAGCUACGGUUAAAAGAUACGUGCAACACAGUAUAUUAUGCCAUGAAUAAACAACAUGCAAAAUAUUGAUGUGGCAGGCAAGCGAACCCAGAACAUUGUGUGUGUGCAAAAGGAAAAAUAAACAUGGCAAAAUUGGUGAGAUGGGUGAGAGGAUAAACUAUAGACACAUCUGAACCUACAACAAACAAGGGCACCGAAGACAAAAAUAAAAAUAAAGGCCAAAAGGGUUGUGUCUACCAGACCCCUCUGUUUACACACAGCAACGAUAACCAGCUCAGCUAGCAGUGGAACGUUUAACAAGAUGCAUAUCGGCUAGACAUGUACACACGCUAGUGCAGAACUGUCGCGGGAAACAUAAAUAACACAAAAUAAACAUGGCAAAAUUGGUGAGAUGCAAUAGGGUGAGAGGAUAAACUAUAGACACAUCUGAACCUACAACAAACAAGGCACCGAAGACAAAAAUAAAAAUAUAGGCCAAAAGAGCUGUGUCUACCCAUACCCCUGUGUUUACACACAACAACGAUGACCAGCUCAGCUAGCAGUGGGACGUUUAACAAGAUGUAUAUCGGCUCGACAUGUACACACACUAGUGCAGAAAAUAAAAAUAGGGAAGCCUGGGAUUUGAACCCAGAUGAACCCCAGAUCCAUAGUUUAGAAGAUAAGCGCGCUACCAACUCGGCCACUCACAUGCUCGUGCUAAAACAUACUGGCGAUCCUAGAAAAAUAGCAGCACGCCAGAAUAGAUCUACAACAAACAAGGUUCAGAUACGGAGGUUAUUCACAGCGGGGGGAAACAGAGGGCGCUCGCGUGCAGGUCUCGCUACGGGAUGCAACGCUGGGGGCAAAUGGACCUGGGCGACGUCAUUGCGCGUCCGCGCGCUGGCUGCGGACUUGUGCGUCCGUGCGCUCGCUGCGAGAACGCUGAAGGAGGCGAGUCAACACGUACACGGCAGCGGUAAUAGUUGAAGCACGCGAGGCGAGGGCAUGCUGGGCAUGGGGACGACCCGAGGACGACAGAUCUAGAAGUGGGGACGCUAGAUCUGGUGGAGAGGAAUCCAUUCCCGAUGGCGGCGUGCUCCUGCUUACCCAAAUGACGGAGCACCGAUGGCGGCAACACCGGCAGUGUCAUGGCUUACUGCAAACACAGGAAAAGAGAGAACUGAGAGAGGGGGGGUCAAUAGGAGAGGAAACGAGAGGAGGGAAAUGGGCGUAGGGGCCUGCUACUCGUGGGCUUGGUCGUCGGCGGCAGCCGGAAGUGGCUGCGGGAUCAGGCACGGCCGCAAGCUCGGCUCGGAACUGCGGGAGCUCACGGACGAGAGUAAGGCUGGGGCCUGGGUUGCCUGCAGUCACUGGACUUGUCCGCAGAGCUGGGGCCUGGGCUCUGUGAUGGAUCGAGCGGAAUCAGAAGGAGCGACGCUCGUUGGAUGGAUGUUGGAUCGGCGAGACACGGGAAAUCCCGAGGUUGGAGGAGAUUGGACGGGAGUGGCGGCGCGGCGCUGAUGGGACAAGGAGAGAAUUUUUAAG